This 1428-nucleotide ribosomal RNA is filed under the name uncultured organism. RNAcentral describes it as "partial small subunit ribosomal RNA". It matches the Rfam family "Bacterial small subunit ribosomal RNA". The record is from RNAcentral.
UAGCGACAGGCUUAACACAUGCAAGUCGAGGGGCAGCACAGGUAGCAAUACCGGGUGGCGACCGGCGCACGGGUGAGUAACGCGUAUGCAACUUGCCUAUCAGAGGGGGAUAACCCGGCGAAAGUCGGACUAAUACCGCAUGAAGCAGGGAUCCCGCAUGGGAAUAUUUGCUAAAGAUUCAUCGCUGAUAGAUAGGCAUGCGUUCCAUUAGGCAGUUGGCGGGGUAACGGCCCACCAAACCGACGAUGGAUAGGGGUUCUGAGAGGAAGGUCCCCCACAUUGGUACUGAGACACGGCCCAAACUCCUACGGGAGGCAGCAGUGGGGAAUAUUGGGCAAUGGACGCAAGUCUGACCCAGCAACGCCGCGUGAAGGAAGAAGGCUUUCGGGUUGUAAACUUCUUUUGUCAGGGAACAGUAGAAGAGGGUACCUGACGAAUAAGCCACGGCUAACUACGUGCCAGCAGCCGCGGUAAUACGUAGGUGGCAAGCGUUGUCCGGAUUUACUGGGUGUAAAGGGCGUGUAGCCGGAGAGACAAGUCAGAUGUGAAAUCCGCGGGCUCAACCCGCGAACUGCAUUUGAAACUGUUUCCCUUGAGUAUCGGAGAGGUAACCGGAAUUCCUAGUGUAGCGGUGAAAUGCGUAGAUAUUAGGAGGAACACCAGUGGCGAAGGCGGCUUUCUGGACUGUUACUGACACUGAGGCACGAAAGUGUGGGGAGCAAACAGGAUUAGAUACCCUGGUAGUCCACACCGUAAACGAUGAGCACUAGGUGUCGGGGUCGCAAGACUUCGGUGCCGCAGUUAACGCAUUAAGUGCUCCGCCUGGGGAGUACGUACGCAAGUAUGAAACUCAAAGGAAUUGACGGGGACCCGCACAAGCAGCGGAGCAUGUGGUUUAAUUCGAAGCAACGCGAAGAACCUUACCAGGACUUGACAUCCCUCUGAAACCCCUGAUAGCGAAGGGCCCUCUUCGGACAGAGGUGACAGGUGGUGCAUGGUUGUCGUCAGCUCGUGUCGUGAGAUGUUGGGUUAAGUCCCGCAACGAGCGCAACCCUUGCUGUUAGUUGCCAUCAUUGAGUUGGGCACUCUAAAGGGACUGCCGGGGAUAACUCGGAGGAAGGUGGGGAUGACGUCAAAUCAUCAUGCCCCUUAUGUUCUGGGCUACACACGUGCUACAAUGGUCGGUACAAAGAGCAGCAAGACCGUGAGGUGGAGCAAAUCUCAAAAACCGAUCCCAGUUCGGAUUGCAGGCUGCAACUCGCCUGCAUGAAGUUGGAGUUGCUAGUAAUCGCGAAUCAGAAUGUCGCGGUGAAUGCGUUCCCGGGUCUUGUACACACCGCCCGUCACACCACGGAAGUUGGGGGUGCCCAAAGUUGGUCAAUAAAUAGAUUACCUAAGGCAAAACCAAUGACUGGGGUGAAGUCAUAA